This is a non-coding RNA of Mycena galericulata, 93 nucleotides long. NCBI's taxonomy places the organism in Eukaryota, Fungi, Basidiomycota, Agaricomycetes, Agaricales, Mycenaceae. The record is from the annotation of a GenBank genome assembly.
UCGGGCGUGGUGUACGGAAUACACGAGCGACAUCUGGAGAUGAUUUUGAACACUCGUAGCUCGCAGACCGGGGUUCAACUCCCCGCGCCCGAA